CUGAAUAUACCGGUUCUCAUUCGAUCACCGAAGUCAAGCAUCAUUGGGCGCGGUUAGUACUUGGUAGGAUGACCAUCUGGGAACACCGCGCGCCGUU
Non-coding RNA from Caerostris darwini, 97 nucleotides. NCBI's taxonomy places the organism in Eukaryota, Metazoa, Arthropoda, Arachnida, Araneae, Araneidae. The record is from the annotation of a GenBank genome assembly.